RNAcentral lists this ribosomal RNA (162 nucleotides) under uncultured bacterium. RNAcentral describes it as "partial 16S ribosomal RNA". It matches the Rfam family "Bacterial small subunit ribosomal RNA", at positions 370 to 524 of the family's 1533-position model. The record is from RNAcentral.
AAUGGGGGCAACCCUGAUGGAGCAAUGCCGCGUGAGAGAAGAAGGCCUUAUGGUUGGAAAUCUCUGUUAUAAGGGAAGAAAGAUAGCUUGAGGAAAUGUUAGUUAAGAGACACUACCUUAUGAGAAAGCCACGGCUAACUACGUGCCAGCAGCCGCGGUAAU